GAUGAAGAACGCAGCGAAAUGCGAUACGUAAUGUGAAUUGCAGAAUUCAGUGAAUCAUCGAAUCUUUGAACGCAUAUUGCGCUCUCUGGUAUUCCGGAGAGCAUGCUUGUUUGAGUAUCAGUAAAUACCUCAACUUCCAUAUCUUUUUUGAAAUGGGAGUUGGACUUGAGUGAUCCCAACGCUUUUCCUCACCGAAAAGUGGCGGGUUACUUGAAAUGCAGGUGCAGCUGGACUUUUCUCUGAGCUAUAAGCAUAUCUAUUUAGUCUGCCUAAAAAACAGAUUAUUACCUUUGCUGCAGCUAACAUAAAGGAGAUUAGUUCUUGUGCUGACUGAUGCAGGAUUCACAAAGACAGGCUUCGGCCGACUUUGUAAACUCGAUCUCAAAUCAAGUAAGACUACCCGCUGAACUUAAGCAUAUCAAUAAGCGGAGGA
Molecule: unclassified non-coding RNA, 433 nt
Filed under: soil metagenome
Description: partial contains 5.8S ribosomal RNA, internal transcribed spacer 2, and large subunit ribosomal RNA
Rfam family: 5.8S ribosomal RNA (bases 1-120)
Source: RNAcentral